UGACUGGGGGGGGUGCGAGUGGCAGUGCCUGGGGAGACUGCCCCUGGUGUGACGUGGCCCUAUAGGGAAUUCCCAACAAGAUUAUUUAAAAGAAGGCUCCUCUAGGAAACACAGGUAAGAGCUGAUCACUCAGCGUUUUGAGCCCUGGCAGAGGUAUUAGACCCCUGGAGAGAGAACCUGAGGCCCAUGUGAGAGGCGAGAAAUGACUCAGUGGUGAAUCCCUAUGCAGUCCUGCCCAUAAUCAGCACAUUCUGAUCCAUGACACUGACCCCUAGACCACAGUUCGGUUGCCUCUUGUAAAGAAAAACGGGAAACCAAUCCUCUAAACAUGAGGAGAGACAAGGAGAAUGAAGCCAUCUGGGCACCCUGGUUUGUUUAUUGCACCUCUUCUUGCAAGUAUGUUUGUAAACAAAGAGAUUCAAAACGUUCAGGUAUGCUAGGGCUGCAGCUGGUUAUGGCUUAUUCUUGUGCUCGAGUUUCAAGUGAAGGGCCACCUGCAUCUAGGAAAAUUCAUAGCUCAAGUGGUCAUCCUCCCACUAUGAAUUAAAAAUGUCUAGUUUCUUGAGCUCUCUGUUUUCUAUUCUGCCAACUCUGAACCUGCUAACUUCUCCUACUGCUCUUGAGAUAGAGACAAUGUUUAUGGUAUUCGUAAUUCAAGGCUAGUUGAAGAUCUUACAGCCAUUUCAAGCUAAGAUACAAAAAUUGAACAAUCAUUCUCCACUGAUGGAGAGAAUAGGAGAAAAAAAAUAAAGGAAAAAAGAGGCUUUUAAAGCUCAGAGUGCCCCUGCCCUGUUAGUGCUCUGUAGAGCAUCUUCUCCGUUCAUGGCCUUUUCCUCCCCAAAUUGAUCUCAGUUGACUUCUGGGCAUUUGUGAAAUGAAAGAGGAAACCGAACUGUCCUGUUUGUAGAUAAGUGAGAGACUGAGUUCCUCAGCUCCGAAGAGAAAGGGCAUUUACCCGUCCCAGCCAAAGGUACGCCUGGGUGACUGGGGGUGCGAGUGCGAGUGUCUGGGAUGACUGCCCUUGGAGUGGCCCUAUAAGGAAUCCCCAACAAGAUUAAUUAAAAGAAGGCUCCUCCAGGAAACUCACAUAAGAGCUGAUCCCUUGGCGUUUUGACCCCUCUAGAUGGAGUUAAACCCCUGGAGAGAGAACCUGAGGCACAUGUGAGUGUUGGGAAAUGACUCAGUGCUGAAACCCUGUGCAUUCCUGCCCACAAUCAGCACACUAUGAUCCACUACACUGACCCCUAGACUACAGUUUGUUGUUCCUUAUUACGAAGAAUUGGAUGUUAAGCCUCUUAAUUUGAAGUAUUAUAUUCCUUAUUUAUUUAUUUUUCUUGUGUAGUUUGUUAUUGAGAAAUUUCUUAAGUUGUGGUAUCUCGACAGUGUUGGGAUUUAAGUGAACAAUUCUAUACCAAGACUAGCCAUAUACAGACACCAACUAAUAUGCUUGAAGCAUAUCAUCUGUAGGUGAAUGGAUCAUGGCUUCCACCCAUUCACUGGCUUUGCCAUCCUUUUGGACCAAGAGAUUUUGUAUGUGUGAAAAUUUUUAGAAAAAGACAUGUACUUUCAUGUCUCUGUGAUUGCCCCUAUGAAGUCUAUGAAGUACUGUUAACCACCCAUACCGCCAUCAAAAUAAAAGAAAAAUUUUCCCAGAUUCAUGUAAUCUAUACCAAACUGCACUGGGACAGCUGGAAGACCACCCCUACAGGUGACCUGAACGUAAGGAUUUCCAGGUCUAGUCCCCAGGGCCCUGAAGCAGACAUUUUCACAAAGUAGAGAGGUUUUUCCCAAUAUCUUAGAUAAGGAAACUACAUUUUUUAUCUAAAAUCCCCUUUUUUUCUGUUUUUUUGUUUCUCUUUUUAUCCCUUCCCCACAAAAAUAGUUCUUCAUGAACACUUUUUCUUUUAAGCUUCCUCGUUUGAGGAUUGCACAUGGGAAGCUGAGUGGAGAUGGCCUCAACCUAUCCCAAUUUCUCUUUUAAUUUUCCACUCUGACUUUUCUUUCAAACUAUGACUUGCUCUUACUAACUCUUACUGCUUUUCCAGCAGGUCAGACACAAGACCCAGCAUCCUUUUGCACCAGUCUUUCAAACCCUGGCCACACUAACUAAUCAAUCUAAUUGCCAGUUAUGCCAACAUAUAGAUCAUAGAGAGGAAUCCGAGCUCAUUUUUGUUUCUGACAAUGAGUGCCAGGUGGAACUGGUCUGGAAGAGGGAUGUAGGACAAGAAGUGGCAGCCACAACCAAAGAAAAUAUAUUAUGGUACUUCUCCUGUUGGUGAGUUAACUGAAAUGGAAAAAGUAUCUUUUGCUCAGACUCUGUAUCCUGGAGACCUACUGACACCAACCAGACCCGUGGAUAGACGUGGGAAUGGAUCCAACAGUCUCGAAAACUCCUACGCAGGAGACCUACCAACUGAGAAGAUAAUUUCUGCAUUCCAACCCUACGAGCUCAUCCCUCGCCAAUCAGCAGACCCCAUUCCCUAGCCCUUUGCUCACCAAACUACCUUUAAAAACCCUUUCUCCCAAAUUCUUGAGGAAGAUGGAUUUGUGAAAUUACUCCCCUCUCCCCUCAUGGUGCCUGUGAUAAUAAAACUUUUUCUCUGCUGUC
Molecule: non-coding RNA, 2608 nt
Organism: Microcebus murinus (gray mouse lemur)
Lineage: Eukaryota; Metazoa; Chordata; Mammalia; Primates; Cheirogaleidae
Source: RefSeq, a predicted model, not a curated record